This is a non-coding RNA of Rhopilema esculentum, 4694 nucleotides long. The record is from RefSeq and is a predicted model, not a curated record. Lineage: Eukaryota; Metazoa; Cnidaria; Scyphozoa; Rhizostomeae; Rhizostomatidae.
CCAGAGUUCUCUAGUGCUAUAAAAGUCUUCCCACCAUGAGGUAAGGUCUUUUCCUUCGGCCAUGUGAUGCAUCUGGAACAGCAAAGGAUGUAAAAGGAUAAGAAGAAGACUCAAGAAUAUGACGUUCCUGCAACCAGUCAUAAAGAAUAUAAAAUGUAAUGACCCUGCCUUCACUCUCCUCAUUUGGAACUCUAGUAUUCCAUGAUGUUUGCAGGAUCCAUAGUUUAAGCAGAGGUGGAUAUUUUUACUUGGUUAUGCAGCUGCUGGUUGCUGAGACUAACUGAGGAAACAUGCAAAAGCAGUGAGCAUUUAAAUCAGGAUUGUCAAGUAUUGAUCGAUUGAAAAAAGUGUGAUCAAAUUUUCUCAGAUACCAAGCCCAGGUGGUUAUGCAAAAAAUUUUGAUCUGGCAAUGUUUACCUUCUAGCUAUGGAUAUCAAGCUUAACUGAGCGUCCUCUCUGGCUUGAACUGGCAAAGUCUACUUCCAAACUGUUGAUUGGUGGUUCUGCAACUAGUGAUAAAUGAGACCUAAAGCCCAGUUGGAGAAGGUUGGAGCUGGCCAAGGUGAUUCAUGGCCUUGCAGAGAAAUUCACUGCUGUGCUGUCAAUAAAAACAAAAAGAACAUGAGACGCAAGACAGAGGAUUAAUUAGAAUUUUUAUCAUGUAGUUUUACAAGCAAAAUUUCUACAAUAACUACAUUUGUCUGUCUUUUUUUGGAUCUCUAUUCUUCAGUGCAGCCAAAGUUAAUUCUGAGUUGAAAAAAGAGCAUUAUUUACUGAAUACUCUUGUAGUCUUUUCUUUGGUGCAGUGCAACUUAUUUUCCAGAAACAGGGCGGUGUUUCAGCCAUUCUUUGUCCAGCUGAAGCAACAUGCUUCUGCAUUUUGUAUGCAAAAUUGAAGUAAUUGCCUCUUAUUUAUUCAACAAAUUUUUUUCUGAACAAUUUUUUUGUGGUACAGAAUUUGAAAAUGGCUUUGAAAAAAGCAAACAUUUUACGACAUACUAAAAGCUUUUUCGUCUGACACUCCUCAGAGCAAAAACGUCACAAUAAGGUUCCGAAAGAACACGAUGGAAAAUAUAUACCCAGUUGUGGGUCGAAAUAGGCCAAUCAGAAAAACGCAAGCACAAGACCGGUAUAGUUGACCAAUCAGUGCCGCGAGCCUAAAGAAAAAUUACCAAUGGAGUCUAAGAGAGAAAACGAACUCCUUUUGUCUACACAAUGGCGGCUUUUUUGUUUUUAUGUAGAUUAACUCAAAAAUUGCUAGAUGGAAGGACGACCGGGCUCUGCCAAUUAUCCGAAGCAUGUCGUCAUUAUAGAGUUUUGCACAAUCUGGGUUGUCUAAAAGCAAGGAAGUGUUACCAAUCCAUGGUAGUUUCAAAUAAACUGGGCACUUUUGCGGACCAAACUUUUGAACAGCCGAAAAACUUGCGAUCUUCUCCUUAGUAUAAGAUAAAAUGACGUCUUCAGGAUAGCCGUUGUCCAAGAAGAUCGUUUUGAGUUUUUCCAGUUCAGCGUGCAGUUUAGAUGUCGAACAGAUCAUAAGUGACCUAUGUACUAAUGUUUUGACAAGGUUGACUUUGCGUUGUUUUGGGCAAAAUGAAUUCCAGCGUAUGUACUGACCGGUAAAAGUAGGCUUGCGAUAUACACUGGUAAGAAAUCCAGUGUUAGACUUUUCGACCAAAACUUCUAAAAAUGGCAAGAAAUCAUUUUCUUCCUUUUCAAACGUAAACUGGAGGGCUGGGUGUAGGCUAUUAAGAUGUUUUAGAAAAAUAUCACACUCAGCCUCUGUUUUGAAAAUGGUAUAUGUGUCAUCCACAUACCGAAAAUAGACACCUGGCUUUUGGUCGUAGUCAAACAAACGCUCUUCAUGAAAGCCAACAAAGAUAUUGGCCAAGGCAGGACCCAGAGGGCUACCCAUAGCGACACCAUCCUUUUGUUGGCACAUUUCAUUGUUAAAGCUGAAUUCAACUGAACGUGUUGCAGUUUCCAUCAGUUCAAUGAAUACUUCCUCUGGGAAUGGUGGGCUAUUGAGCUCGCUCCGGUACAAAGCGUCGGCACAUAUUUUCACUCAAAGGAACAUUUCCUGAUGGUCUCACUCAAAGGAACAUUUGUGAAAAGGCUACUAAUGUCGAAAGAACACAUGAAAGAUGUUUCGUUUUCGAUGUUCAAGUUUUGCAUGAACUCAGCGAACGUAAAAGAAUCCUUGAUGAAAUGUUUUGAAUAUUUUUGAAGAACAGGGUCCAAAACUUCACAAAGCCACUUAGCCAGUUCGUGUUGUGCUGAACCAAUCAUAGACAAGAUAGGUCUAAGUGGGACGUUCGGCUUGUGUAUUUUAGGGAGGCCAUACAUUUGUGGUCGUCGAGAGCCCGUGGGUCUUAUCCUAUCAUAAAUUUCUGUAGCCAACACUUUUGAGUUGACCAGUUCCAACAAACGUUUUUGGAGUUUCCGCUCUAGUUUGGCCGUUUUGUCCUGUGUUUCGACAUCACCCAAUUUAGCAAAUUUUUCUUUGUCGUGGAGAAUAAUCUCCAUUUUAUUGACGUAGUUCUUUUUGUUUAAAAUUACCACUCCAGACCCUUUAUCAGGUUUUGUAAUAAAGAUGUCAUUGUUAGCCCGUAGAGAUUUUAGUGCUUGGAAAUGCUCUCUAUGCAAAAGAAAAUCAGAGUGGUUGAUGGGAGAGCCACUAUAAGCAUAUGCCAAAUCGCUUAGUCGUGCUCGUAAUUUUUUUCCUUUAGACCUGGGACAAUUUGUGGGAGCCUAUAAAAAUUAUCUACUAGCGUUGUUAACUCUGAUGUAUAUCAUAUCUAGGAAUACAUCAAACCUGAAAGUAUUUUUUACUUUAUAAUGGUUUAUCUUUCUGUAGUAUAUCAGUCAAGCCCCCAAAAAUUUGUGUGUUAGUGUUAAGACUUUCAGGAUUAUUUGACAGUAUCCCAAAAGAAGACCCAGACGCAAUGUAAUGAUAGUUCUAUCAUUGCAAUUGAAAGAAACAGAUUUGUGAAAAUUGUUGAAGUUAUAGAGUAUAAGAUUUAAAAAUCAAUUGAUGGAGGAAUACCGUAAAUCCUUGAAUAAAUCCCCGCUGCUACCGUAAAUUCUCGAAUUGGCAUAUGUCACACGAUACAGGUCACGAAAGCACCUCUCCCCAUAGAAUCACGCUGGUCACCAAUGUUUAAGGGACAUUGAAUAACCCUGGUCCGUUUUAUCAGCAGUAGACAUUUAAUAAAAACCUUUUUUAUACCACUUGCAAUGAAGCUAUCGAUUACCACCAAGAAGUAUCUAGACCGGAUUGUUCUCGGUUCAAGUAGUAUUCUUGGUUCAAUAUUAAAGAACCUCAAUGAAAGGUUGUGUUCACAACUGAAGUUUCAAGCCUGGUUCCCAUAAAAUCGUGAGCUGGUCGGCGACAGUCUGCGUUGGUCUCUCGAUUUUAUGGGAACACUUUCUUCCGAUCAUUACGACUGCGCUGACUGUGAAUCGUAAAGGUCGGGAGAAAAAUUUAAAAGGGAGCACGGGUCACCGACGUCGUCGAUCAACUAUUGUUAAGAAACGAUCACCUGAUGUAAUUAACCAAUCAAAGGAAAAUGAUUUGGCGCCUUUAUAGGAAAUAUUGGACGCUACGGGGGUGCAUCCGGGACUUUUAGAGACACGAGGAGGUAAUGGAAGAGGAAAACUGAACAACGGACGAACUUUUGGUACUUUGUAAAUUAAAAUGAUAUGUUUUGUUUUGUUCAACGAAAAUUCGAAAAACAUCAGACGAAGAGUUUGAUUGAUGGUAGAUUCUUCACACGGCCAGGAGAGAAUUUACUAUACCUUAUUGCUUGCUGUUGUUUUGUUGUCAUGGGAAAAUUUUAUCUUUGAUCGUUAUGGACGAUGGAAGAAGAGAUCGGUGACACGUUCCCGACUCUUACGAUUUUAUGGGAACUUGACUUUAAAGUACUAAAAUAUUGAUUUAGCAAGCCGUAACAGGCCGUCAGUGGCAUUGAUGGCAUGGCAAAAAUCUUUUUUUUAAAUUUAUAAAUUUUGAUAACAAAAGCACAAAGGAUAUAUUGAAAUACGACUUAAUAUACAAAAUCAGUUAAUUAAAAUAAGAUUUCUUGAGAUAUAGCUAUGAUAUUUGAUAUAUGAAAUUUGCUUACGGAUUGUGUUGGUCUGAUUCAUAAGACGCAAUAACUGUCUUUUAAUUAGAAAAAAGCUUAUACUAGUGUGGCCAUAGCAAUUUGUAUCGGAUCUGCCUGUUUCUGCAAUUCAAGAGCUCUUUUAUGGUGCUCUUUUAGACAAUAUGUCCAAAUACAUACAAUUUGAGAAUAUAUUCUUAUGACGUCAUCUCUUUGGCACACUGUAUUGGCAGGACAGAAUGAGUCUUCUGCUUUGUUAUAUGACUGAUAACAUUUUUUCCUUUUCAUAGCUUGAAUUUCAUCGAGGGAGCGUUUGCAUUUUUGUCUCUCAUCAACAUUAGCCAAACAAUGAAGAUAUCUGGCAUGUGAUAGACUAUAUCUCAAUUGUUUUGAAUCAUCCCGAAAGCUAAUCACUGGAAAACAGCUUGAAUUUCAUCGAGGGAGCGUUUGCAUUUUUGUCUCUCAUCAACAUUAGCCAAACAAUGAAGAUAUCUGGCAUGUGAUAGACUAUAUCUCAAUUGUUUUGAAUCAUCCCGAAAGCUAAUCACUGGAAAACAGGUAUGAAACUGAACUUGUAGAGUGCUUUUUGUU